UGGGGUAUAUUGGACAAUGGGGGGAACCCUGAUCCAGCCAUGCCGUGUGUGUGAAGAAGGCCUUAUGGUUGUAAAGCACUUUAAGCGAGGAGGAGGGUACUGGUAUUAAUACUACCAGGUACUGGACGUUACUCGCAGAAUAAGCACCGGCUAACUCUGUGCCAGCAGCCGCGGUAAUACAGAGGGUGCGAGCGUUAAUCGGAUUUACUGGGCGUAAAGCGUGCGUAGGCGGCUAAUUGAGUCGGAUGUGAAAUCCCCGAGCUUAACUUGGGAAUUGCAUUCAAUACUGGUUAACUAGAGUGUGGGGGAGGAUGGUAGAAUUCCCGGUGUGGCGGUGAAAUACGUGGAGAUCUGGAGGAAUACCGAUGGCGAAAGCAGCCAUCUGGCCUAACACUGACGCUGAGGUACGAAAGCAUGGGGGGCAAACAGA
RNAcentral lists this ribosomal RNA (430 nucleotides) under Pseudomonadota bacterium. RNAcentral's name for it is "Proteobacteria bacterium partial 16S ribosomal RNA". It matches the Rfam family "Bacterial small subunit ribosomal RNA", at positions 355 to 776 of the family's 1533-position model. Lineage: Bacteria; Pseudomonadati; Pseudomonadota. The record is from RNAcentral.